Long non-coding RNA from Ictalurus punctatus (channel catfish), 585 nucleotides. The record is from Ensembl. NCBI's taxonomy places the organism in Eukaryota, Metazoa, Chordata, Actinopteri, Siluriformes, Ictaluridae.
GUGGUGCUGAGGUGUAAAUGUGUGUGCGCUGUGUAAAUGUGGUGCAGCUGAGUAAAUGUGGUGUAAAUGUGUAAAUGUGGUGCAGCUGAGGUGUAAAUGUGGUGCAGCUGAGGUGUAAAUGUGGUGCAGCUGUGGUGUAAAUGUGGUGCAGCUGAGGUGUAAAUGUGGGUGCUGUGGUGUAAAUGUGGUGCAGCUGAGGUGUAAAUGUGGUGUAAAUGUGGUGUAAAUGUGGUGCAGCUGAGGUGUAAAUGUGGUGCAGCUAAGGUGUAAAUGUGGUGCAGCUGAGGUGUAAAUGUGGUAGCUGAGGUGUAAAUGUGGUGCAGCUGAGGUGUAAAUGUGGUGUAGCUGAGGUGUAAAUGUGGUGCAGCUGAGGUGUAAAUGUGGUGCAGCUGAGGUGUAAAUGUGUGCAGCUGAGGUGUAAAUGUGGUGCAGCUGAGGUGUAAAUGUGGUGCAGCUGUGGUGUAAAUGUGGUGCAGCUGAGCUGUAAAUGUGGUGUAAAUGUGGUGCAGCUGAGGUGUAAAUGUGGUGCAGCUGUGGUGUAAAUGUGGUGUAAAUGUGGUGCAGCUGAGGUGUAAAUGUGGUGUG